Molecule: transfer RNA, 75 nt
Filed under: Microcaldota archaeon
Lineage: Archaea; Nanobdellati; Microcaldota
Also listed under: 1 other name
Description: Candidatus Micrarchaeota archaeon (hot springs metagenome) tRNA-Arg
Rfam family: tRNA
About the family: Transfer RNA (tRNA) molecules are approximately 80 nucleotides in length. Their secondary structure includes four short double-helical elements and three loops (D, anti-codon, and T loops).
Source: RNAcentral
GGGCUCGUAGCUCAGCUUGGAUAGAGCGGCACUCUCCUAAAGUGAAGGUCGUGGGUUCAAAUCCCACCGAGCCCG